GACGAACGCUGGCGGCGUGCUUAACACAUGCAAGUCGAACGGAAAGGCCCCCCACGUUUUUUGGUGGAGGUGCUCGAGUGGCGAACGGGUGAGUAACACGUGGGUGAUCUGCCCUGUACUUCGGGAUAAGCUUGGGGAAACUGGGGUCUAAUACCGGAUAGGACCAUGGUUUAGUGUCUCAUGGUGGAAAAAAUAUUGUCUUGGUGCAGGAUGAGCUCGCGGCCUAUCAGCUUGUUGGUGGGGUAAUGGCCUACCAAGGCGUCGACGGGUAGCCGGCCUGAGAGGGUGGACGGCCACAUUGGGACUGAGAUACGGCCCAGACUCCUACGGGAGGCAGCAGUGGGGAAUAUUGCACAAUGGGCGCAAGCCUGAUGCAGCGACGCCGCGUGGGGGAUGACGGCCUUCGGGUUGUAAACUCCUUUCGUUAGGGACGAAGCCAUACUUUUUGGGUGUGGUGACGGUACCUUUGUUAAGAAGCACCGGCUAACUACGUG
Molecule: ribosomal RNA, 494 nt
Filed under: uncultured bacterium
Lineage: Bacteria
Description: bacterial SSU rRNA
Rfam family: Bacterial small subunit ribosomal RNA
Source: RNAcentral